GCCCUUCCAUUGUCAAGAUGAGGGGCAGAGGCGUGCCGAGACACAGCCCGCAGGAGGCGGGCGGGAGCCCAGACCUCACUUGAACUGAAGGAAGCUAGAGCGAGAAAGGAGGGGCACAGUGCUUCUGCGGGCUCCCACCUGAAGACAGAGACAGAAGCUGGACUGAAUGGAGAAAUGCCUGGCAUGAGUGGUGCCGUGAGUCAGCGCAGAUCCAAGCUCUGUCCCUCUGCCCCUCUGCUCUGCUCUUUGCCAGACCACACAGCCUCCCUCCCCUCCUGCCAAGCGUGGCCAGCGUGCCGUCCAGACACAAUCAAGGCCUGAAAAGACGAUGAGAAUGCAGAUCUGGAAAUUCUGGCUGUAAAAUACCCCACAGAAAGGUGAACGAAGAAGGAACCACAAAUAAAGUCACCGCCACUGAGUGUUUACUGUGUGUUAUGGGUUGAACUGUGCCCACCCCCAAAAACCCAUGUGUUCCAGUCCUAACCCCCAGAGUGUGCCCUUAUUUGGAAAUAAGGUUGGUGCAGACACAAUUAGUUAAGCUGAGGUCAUAAGGAGCAGAGUGGGCCCCUUAUCCAAUACGACUGGUGUCCUCACGAAAAGGGAAAAUUUGAACACAGACACACUCAGGGAGAACACCGUGUGAAGAGUGGAGUCACGCUGCCCCAAACCAAGGACCUACCAGAAGCUCCGAGAGAGGCCUGGAACAGAUCCUUCUCUGGAGCUUUCAGAGGGAGCACAACCCUGACGACACCUGGAUCUUGGACUUCCGGCCUCCAGAACUGUGAGACAACAAAUUCCUGUUGUUUCAGCCUCUCAGUUCAUGGUCCUCUGUUACAGCAGCCCUGGCAAAUGCAUAUGAUAUGUAAUAGGUGCUAUGCUAACUGAUUUACAUCCACUGUCUCAUUUAACCCUCGGGACAACCCAUCAAUAGGUACCAUGGUCCGUUUUAUGGAAGAAUAAAUUAAACGAGAGGAAGGGUAAGUAACUUGUUCAAGGCUGAGCUGCUUCAAUCUAAAAGGACAGUGGUAUUCAAAGCCUCGGGCUCAGGGAAGCCCGCCCCACACCCAACCUACCCUAAUUGGGUAAAUCCCACGGCGUUCUUCACUCAGCCUUUCAAUCCUUGCUCAAAAUAGAUGUUGUCUCUUCAACAUCUGCUUGGCUUCUGGUUAAGAUGCUUGCAUGCCCUGUGUGGUGGUCAGAUUGGUGCACUCACCUGUUCUAAGUCCAUAUACAUGGAAAGACCUAGUGAGUUGUGAUGUUUAUGUCACACGUGGCACCUAAAUGCCUACCCCCUCAUUUACCAACAAAUGGGAGCCAACUCUCCUGGCUUCAUGCCAUCUCACUGUGCAACGUCCAAUAUACACACACACAUACACACACACACACCCCAGCCAUCAUAGUACAGACUGUUCAUGUGAUUUAUGUUUGUUUAAUUUGUAUUUUUGUCCAUGGUUUGUCACCCAGUUGUGUGCAGAUUCCUUACCUCAGCCUUCUUCUAUCUAGCCCCAGAAGAUGUGUUCCAUUUUCAAAGUCGUGGGAGCCAAGUAAAACCUCCUUCGUUGUCAUGGGCUAAUGGGCUAUAGAGCAGCUGCAGACCUGAUCCUGAGACACCGUGUCAGGGCUGA
This is a non-coding RNA of Equus caballus (horse), 1625 nucleotides long. The record is from RefSeq and is a predicted model, not a curated record. NCBI's taxonomy places the organism in Eukaryota, Metazoa, Chordata, Mammalia, Perissodactyla, Equidae.